This is a long non-coding RNA of Oncorhynchus kisutch (coho salmon), 1632 nucleotides long. Lineage: Eukaryota; Metazoa; Chordata; Actinopteri; Salmoniformes; Salmonidae. The record is from Ensembl.
AUGGCACCGUUGCAGAGGCUAACCGGUCUAACAGGCCAGUUAGCCCAGUUUGACCAAACUGGGCCAACUGAGCUCUGCUUGCAGAGGGGGAACAAAGACAGUCCCGCUGCAGUCAGUCAGACCCAUACCAGUCUGUCAGACCCAUACCAGUCAGUCAGCCAUACCAGUCAGUCAGCCAUACCAGUCUGUCAGACCCAUACCAGUCUGUCAGCCAUACAUGUCAGUCAGCCAUACCAGUCAGUCAGCCCCAUACCAGUCUGUCAGCCCCAUACCAGUCAGUCAGCCAUACCAGUCAGUCAGACCCAUACCAGUCAGUCAGACCCAUACCAGUCUGUCAGACCCAUACCAGUCUGUCAGCCAUACAUGUCAGUCAGCCAUACCAGUCUGUCAGCCAUACCAGUCAGUCAGCCCCAUACCAGUCAGUCAGCCCCAUACCAGUCUGUCAGACCCAUACCAGUCUGUCAGCCAUACAUGUCAGUCAGCCAUACCAGUCUGUCAGACCCAUACCAGUCUGUCAGCCAUACAUGUCAGUCAGCCAUACCAGUCUGUCAGCCAUACCAGUCAGUCAGCCAUACCAGUCAGUCAGCCCCAUACCAGUCUGUCAGACCCAUACCAGUCUGUCAGCCAUACAUGUCAGUCAGCCAUACCAGUCUGUCAGCCCCAUACCAGUCAGUCAGCCAUACCAGUCUGUCAGCCAUACCAGUCUGUCAGCCAAACCAGUCUGUCAGCCAUACCAGUCAGUCAGCCAUACCAGUCUGUCAGCCAUACCAGUCUGUCAGCCAAACCAGUCUGUCAGCUAUACCAGUCAGUCAGCCAAACCAGUCAGUCAGCCAAACCAGUCAGUCAGCCAUACCAGUCAGUCAGCCAAACCAGUCAGUCCUCCUCCUUCUCCUCCUCCUGCACCACCUCCUCCUCCUGCACCACCUCCUUCUCAUCCUCCUCCUCUUCCUCCUGCACCACCUCCUUCUCCUCCUCCUCUGCCUCAUCCUACUUCCCAUCCUCCUAUUUCUCAAUCUCUUCUGCCUCCUCCCUCUUGUCCUCCUCUUCUUCCUCCUCCUCGUCUUUUUCUUCCUCGGCUCCCCCCUCCUCUUUCUCCUCUUCCCGCUCCUCGUCUUUUUCAUCUUCCCGCUCCUCCUCUUAUUCAGCUUCCCUCUCCUCAUCUCAUUCAUCUUCCCGCUUCUCCUCUUAUUCAGCUUCCUCACCUUUCCCCUCCUCCUCUUCUACCUCUUCCUCAUCUUCCUCCUCCUCUUCCUCCUUUUCUCCUCUUCCCCCUCCUCCUCUUCCUCCUCUUCCCCUUUCUCCUUCUCAUCUUCCCCCUUUCAUCCCCCUCCUCCUCUUCUACCUCUUCCCCGCCCUCCUCUUCCUCCUCUUCCCCUUCCCCCUCCUCCUCUUCCUCAUCUUCCCCUUUCUCCUUCUCAUCUUCCCCCUUUCAUCCCCCUCCUCCUCUUCUACCUCUUCCCCACCCUCCUCUUCCUCCUCUUUCCCUUCCCCCUCCUCCUCUUCCUCAUCUUCCCCUUUCUCCUUCUCAUCUUCCCCCUUUCAUCCCCCUCCUCCUCUUCCUCCUCUUCCCCUUCCUCUUCCUCCUCUUCCCCUUCCUCCUUCUCCUUAGUACAUAAUCAAGCCUCUGAUUAG